GUGCUCGCUUUGCCAACACAUAUACUAAAAUUGAAAUGAUACAGAGAAGACUAACUUGGCCCCUGUGUAAGGAUGACAUGCAAAUUCAUGAGCGUUCCAUAUUUUU
Molecule: small nuclear RNA, 106 nt
Organism: Aotus nancymaae (Ma's night monkey)
Lineage: Eukaryota; Metazoa; Chordata; Mammalia; Primates; Aotidae
Source: Ensembl